UACGGGGGGGGUAAGCGUUGUUCGGAUUUAUUGGGUUUAAAGGGUGCGUAGGCGGUCCUAUAAGUCAGUGCUGAAAUAUCCCGGCUUAACCGGGAGGGUGGCAUUGAUACUGCAGGACUUGAGUAAAGUUGAGGUAGGCGGAAUUGACGGUGUAGCGGUGAAAUGCUUAGAUAUCGUCAAGAACACCGAUAGUGAAGACAGCUUACUAAACUUUAACUGACGCUGAGGCACGAAAGUGUGGGGAUCAAACAGG
RNAcentral lists this ribosomal RNA (253 nucleotides) under uncultured bacterium. Its description in RNAcentral is "partial 16S ribosomal RNA". It matches the Rfam family "Bacterial small subunit ribosomal RNA", at positions 524 to 776 of the family's 1533-position model. The record is from RNAcentral.